CGAUAGCUCAGUUGGUAGAGCAGAGGACUGAAAAUCCUUGUGUCGCUGGUUCGAUUCCGGCUCGA
Molecule: transfer RNA, 65 nt
Filed under: uncultured Eubacterium sp.
Lineage: Bacteria; Bacillati; Bacillota; Clostridia; Eubacteriales; Eubacteriaceae
Rfam family: tRNA
About the family: Transfer RNA (tRNA) molecules are approximately 80 nucleotides in length. Their secondary structure includes four short double-helical elements and three loops (D, anti-codon, and T loops).
Source: RNAcentral